RNAcentral lists this ribosomal RNA (301 nucleotides) under uncultured bacterium. RNAcentral describes it as "partial 16S ribosomal RNA". It matches the Rfam family "Bacterial small subunit ribosomal RNA", at positions 509 to 807 of the family's 1533-position model. The record is from RNAcentral.
CAGUAGCCGCGGUAAUACGUAGGGUGCAAGCGUUAAUCGGAAUUACUGGGCGUAAAGCGUGCGCAGGCGGUUAUAUAAGACAGAUGUGAAAUCCCCAGGCUCAACCUGGGAACUGCAUUUGUGACUGUAUAGCUAGAGUACGGCAGAGGGGGAUGGAAUUCCGCGUGUAGCAGUGAAAUGCGUAGAUAUGCGGAGGAACACCGAUGGCGAAGGCAAUCCCCUGGGCCUGUACUGACGCUCAUGCACGAAAGCGUGGGGAGCAAACAGGAUUAGAUACCCCAGUAGUCCCUGUCUCUUAUAC